Molecule: long non-coding RNA, 423 nt
Filed under: Prunus dulcis (almond)
Lineage: Eukaryota; Viridiplantae; Streptophyta; Magnoliopsida; Rosales; Rosaceae
Description: sRNA ncRNA
Source: RNAcentral
AUGCAAGAAACAUUGAAACGCAGAGAAGAAGAUCAUCAGAAAGAAGAGGCAGAAUUGGGCGUAUGGGAUUGUGGCAGCCCCUUAUAUGACUCCUAUGAAUUGGUCAGAGUCAGUCAUCUGAUCGAACGGCAUCUAAUGGCAUUGCCCUCUCUAGGAGGAUCAAGGCGGUUCAUCACCAAUCUCUCUCAUCUUCCAUCAUUAGAGAUGGCCUCCUUGAGUGCCACUACCAUAUCAUCAAGGGAGGGCAAAGGGUCAUCUUCUUCUUCCAUGGUGGGUGGCUUGAGUGAAUUUAUGGGGAUUAGGAAGAUUUGGAAGAGGAGGGUUGUGUUUGGAGGAAGAAAAGACAAGGCCAAGAAAAUGAAAACAGGGUUGUCUGGCUUUUGCAAUUUGAUUGAUCUAUGGAGGCAAAAGGAUCACAGGUGA